UAGAUAGACCAAGGGUCUGACUCAGUAUAUGGCAGUUUCCUGUGUUCCUAUGAUGGUUCCCAAACUUACAUUUCAUUCCAAAGUCAAAUUGGGAUCAGGAACAAGAUUGGCCCAAAGGGUUUCAGGGCUCUGUUCUGCACUCACCUGGGGUUUUUAAAUUGAAGUCCUACCUCUGUUGCAGGAGGAAGAAGUGCCUUUAAGGGGGUGGGCAGGCCAGGGGGUGGCCUCUUCCUGGUCUAGUAAUCCUUUUGCUACUAUCAACUUUAUUGGAUACCCACCACAAGCAUUUCCGGUCACAAGGAUUCCCAGAUGUUCUUGACUGCAACUCCCAUCAUCCCCUUCUGCAGUGAGACUAUGGGAGUUGUAGUCGACCACAUCUGAGAAUCACAAGAAACACAGCCCACCAGCAUCCCAUAUUGUCACAUGGUAUCAUCAGAAUAUUGGGGAAACAUCCUCUGAUGCUGUCAUAUAAGUAGUUAACCAAAAUAUCAUUCAGGGUUGGGAUGGACCAUAGCUCAGUGGCAGAACAUCUACUCUGCAUGCAGAGGGCCCCGGGUUCAAUCCCUGGCAGCAUCUUCAGGUAGGACAGUCAGAGAACUUUGCCUGCAACCUUGGAGAAGCUGCUGCCAGUCAGUGUAGACCAUACUGAGCUAGAUAAACCAAUAGUUUGGCCCAGUAUAAAGAGGCUUCUUGUUUCUAUGUGCCCUCCUCCCAUAAAGGGUCUCCAUUGGGUCAGUGUCAAGGUGGAUCCUGAUUGAUCUCCCUUUAAAAGCCGCACUCUGGCCAAGUGGGAUUGAUGACCAGCUUUCUCUGGCUCCAGAUAAUGACGGGUCUGUCCAUGAUCCUGAGAUUUAUUCCAGCCUUAUAUGGUGCCGGCAGUGGCGAUGUCCCUAAAGAUGCCACUUUUGACAAUUUCACAUCAGGAGCAGAAGCAUAAUACUAUAAUUAUCUUUUGCCUAGAGAAUCUCUCCUCUUAAGUUUGACAGGUAAAUACUUCUCAGCAUAACACUCAAACGGAUGGUUAAAGUGGAAGAGAUAAAAGCCCAAGGAGGGGAGAAGAAGAAUCAAACGGAAACGAAUCCUCUGGCUGUCUCUUAAGGUCGCUGUUCAGUCGCCAGCAGGGAGAGACUACUGGACUGAGGAUGGAACUAUAGCUCAGUGGAAGAGCAUGUGUUUUGCAUGUGGAACGUCCCAGGUUCAAACCCUGGCAGCAUCUCCAGAUAGAUGAUGUCACGGUUGCAUCAAUGAAUGUCGUUAUCUUGGAGCGGUGCCAUCCAAAUUAGAACCUCCCUCUUGGCUUCGAUCACCGUUUCAAGGACAAUCCAACGAACUCUAAGAGGAACUCAGAAUGGCUGCAAACAUUCUUGAUUCUUGACACAACACAUUUUGGGUGUGUUGUGAUUUCAUGUGUUGACCAGGUGUUCCCGACACUGGGGAGGGAGGUAAAUGUUUAUUAGCAGUAGGGAGCAGUGUCUAGAGCAGAAUAAGACUGCCAUAGCAUUAGGGCUGGGCGCAAAACCAGUCUGCCUGAUUCAGUUUGCGUCCAAACUGGACUCAAAGAGAACCAGACAGGUUUGGUUUUGUGCCCCCCCCCCCACAUUUGAGCCAGUUCAGGGGUUCUAAUGUAAAAAAUGUAAAUGGGAAAAUGUAAUA
Molecule: long non-coding RNA, 1653 nt
Organism: Hemicordylus capensis (graceful crag lizard)
Lineage: Eukaryota; Metazoa; Chordata; Lepidosauria; Squamata; Cordylidae
Exons: 3
Source: RefSeq, a predicted model, not a curated record